This 75-nucleotide small RNA is filed under the name Marmota monax (woodchuck). Lineage: Eukaryota; Metazoa; Chordata; Mammalia; Rodentia; Sciuridae. The record is from RNAcentral.
AUCGCUUCUCGGCCUUUUGGCUAAGAUCAAGUGUAAAAAUACACAAUGUAUCUUUAUUAAAUAUGGUCACCUUAC